CGGGAAUCAAACGAGGCGCCGAAGCCAAGGAAGCAUUCGCACCCGCGAGAGCUUGCGAGGAAGAGUGGGAGGGAGGGAUGGCGGCGGGGGCGGCGCCGCAGGGGGCGCCGACGGUGGAGGAGCAGGAGGAGGCGGCGGGGGUGGGGAUCCUGCUGCAGAUAUCGAUGCUGGUGCUGGCGUUCGUGCUCAGCCACCUCCUCCGCCGCCGCAGGGUCUACUACCUCCCCGAGGCCAGCGCGUCGCUCCUCAUCGGGUUGAUCGUGGGAGGGCUUGCUAGCGUAUCUAACGCCCAGAAAAGUACAAGGAGAUGGUUCAAUUUCCGGGAGGAGCUCUUCUUUCUGUUCUUGCUGCCUCCUAUCAUAUUCCAGUCCGGCUUCAGCUUAGCACCAAAACCAUUCUUCUCAAACUUUGGUGCUAUUAUUACUUUUGCAAUCGUUGGAACCUUAAUUGCCUCCAUUGUCACCGGUGUUUUAGUCUACCUUGCUGGGUUAAUACAUCUUGUCUAUAGGAUGCCUCUGGUUGAGUGUAUGAUGUUUGGUGCCCUUGUGUCAGCAACUGAUCCUGUAACUGUGCUGUCGAUAUUUCAGGAACUUGGCACGGAUGUGAACCUCUAUGCGCUGGUUUUCGGUGAAUCUGUGCUAAAUGAUGCUAUGGCAAUCUCCUUGUACAGGACUAUGGCAUCUCUGAGGACGAAUGCUUCUAGCCAAAACAUUUUCAUAGUUAUCUUAAGGUUUCUUGAGAACUUCUUUGGGUCAAUGUCAACAGGUGUUGGAGCUGGAUUUAUUUCUGCUCUCCUCUUCAAGUAUUCAACACUCGGUGUUGAGAACCUUUAUAACCUCGAGAGCUGCUUGUUUGUGCUUUUCCCAUACUUCUCGUACAUGCUAGCUGAAGGCUUUGGUCUGUCUGGCAUAGUCUCAAUACUCUUUACUGGAGUCGUAGGUUCAACUUAAAUGAGGCAGUCAGGAAUUAUUAUUUCUGCCUGAAGUUAUUUACUUGAUAGUGGAACUUCUCUUUCUAGGUGAUGAAGAGAUACACAUUCUCAAACUUGUCAGAGGACUCCCAGCGUUUCACUGCUGCACUUUUCCAUCUGCUUUCGUCAUUAGCAGAAACUUUUGUAUUCAUAUAUAUGGGAUUUGAUAUUGCGAUGGAGCGUCAAAGCUGGUCACACAUUGGGUUCAUAUUUUUCUCAGUUAUCUUCAUAUUAGUUGCAAGGGCUGCAAAUGUUUUCUCGUGUGCUUUCUUGGUAAAUAUGGUACGGCCACCUCAGCGGCAAAUAUCCAGGCAAUAUCAACAGGCACUUUGGUAUAGUGGUCUUAGAGGGGCUAUGGCUUUUGCCCUUGCUCUUCAAUCUGUUCAUGAUCUUCCUGACGGCCAUGGACAGACAAUUCUGAGUGCUACCAUAUCUAUUGUUGUUCUAACAGUACUUCUGAUUGGAGGCUCAACAAGCACAAUGCUUGAAGCUCUGCAUGUUGUGGGAGAUGGUAAUGAUGGUCGUCGCCCUUCUUCACUUGAGGACCAGGAGAACUAUGAGGGGAACAAUAAUGCGGGCAACAUAGAAUUGGGCAAUGAAGAGCGGACUUCUACCACAAGCAAUUUCAAACUGAAACUCCAAGAAAUCCAGAAAAACACGACCUCCUUGGCCGCAUUGGACAGAAACUACCUCACUCCAUUUUUCACAUCUCAAAACGGCGAUAGCGAUGACGACGAACAUGGUCCUAACGGAGCGCCGCGGAGAUCUAACCAGCUGCAAGACCUGGAGAGCCAUGGAUUACCGACUCGAGAGACGGGCUGAAGAGCUCCAUUUGAACGGUGUCGCGCAAUCGCUUCCGUGUCACCAUUAGGCCAAGGCAGUAUCUGACACUCCAACUAACAAACACAGAGGAAAGACAUAGUAGCAUCUUAUGGGCCGUCGACAAUGAUAGCUUGCUCCACAUGUAAGUAGAUGAUAGGACCUGCACGUUUAAGUUACCAGGUUAGCAACGCUAGCAGAUGUUCUCUGAAGAGAAUGGAAGAUCUUGUACUGUGCUGUGCUCUUUUUCUUUACAGUUGGAUGUUGAAUCGAACUGGUCCCAGAUCCCAGUGGAGGGAAGGACUUGAUUCUAUCACCCUGCCAAGCAAGGCAUCCAUGUGUCUUUUCCCUUUUUCCUCUUUUUAUUUGCC
This 2160-nucleotide ribosomal RNA is filed under the name Triticum aestivum (bread wheat). RNAcentral describes it as "partial small subunit ribosomal RNA". Lineage: Eukaryota; Viridiplantae; Streptophyta; Magnoliopsida; Poales; Poaceae. The record is from RNAcentral.